Molecule: ribosomal RNA, 254 nt
Filed under: uncultured bacterium
Lineage: Bacteria
Description: partial 16S ribosomal RNA
Rfam family: Bacterial small subunit ribosomal RNA
Source: RNAcentral
UACGUAGGGGGGCAAGCGUUGUCCGGAAUCAUUGGGCGUAAAGAGCGCGUAGGCGGCCCUGUAAGUCCGCUGUGAAAGUCAAGGGCUCAACCCUUGGAUGCCGGUGGAUACUGCAGGGCUAGAGUCCGGAAGAGGCGAGUGGAAUUCCAGGUGUAGCGGUGAAAUGCGUAGAUAUCUGGAGGAAUACCGGUGGCGAAGGCGGCAUCCUGGACCAUAACUGACGCUGAGGCGCGAAAGCUAGGGGAGCAAACGGG